This 374-nucleotide ribosomal RNA is filed under the name uncultured organism. RNAcentral describes it as "partial 16S ribosomal RNA". It matches the Rfam family "Bacterial small subunit ribosomal RNA", at positions 527 to 897 of the family's 1533-position model. The record is from RNAcentral.
GUAGGUGGCAAGCGUUGUCCGGAAUUAUUGGGCGUAAAGCGCGCGCAGGUGGUUCUUUAAGUCUGAUGUGAAAGCCCCCGGCUCAACCGGGGAGGGUCAUUGGAAACUGGGGAACUUGAGUGCAGGAGAGGAAAGUGGAAUUCCACGUGUAGCGGUGAAAUGCGUAGAUAUGUGGAGGAACACCAGUGGCGAAGGCGACUUUCUGGCCUGUAACUGACACUGAGGCGCGAAAGCGUGGGGAGCAAACAGGAUUAGAUACCCUGGUAGUCCACGCCGUAAACGAUGAGUGCUAGGUGUUGGGGGGGUUUCCCGCCCCUCAGUGCUGCAGCUAACGCAUUAAGCACUCCGCCUGGGGAGUACGGUCGCAAGACUAG